CCAUCGCUCAACGGAUAAAAGCUACCCCGGGGAUAACAGGCUUAUCUCCCCCAAGAGUUCACAUCGACGGGGAGGUUUGGCACCUCGAUGUCGGCUCAUCGCAUCCUGGGGCUGUAGUCGGUCCCAAGGGUUGGGCUGUUCGCCCAUUAAAGCGGUACGCGAGCUGGGUUCAGAACGUCGUGAGACAGUUCGGUCCCUAUCCGUCGUGGGCGUAGGAAAUUUGAGAGGAGCUGUCCUUAGUACGAGAGGACCGGGAUGGACAUACCUCUGGUGUACCAGUUGUCGUGCCAACGGCAUAGCUGGGUAGCUAUGUGUGGACGGGAUAAGUGCUGAAAGCAUCUAAGCAUGAAGCCCCCCUCAAGAUGAGAUUUCCCAACUUCGGUUAUAAGAUCCCUCAAAGAUGAUGAGGUUAAUAGGUUCGAGGUGGAAGCAUGGUGACAUGUGGAGCUGACGAAUACUAAUCGAUCGAAGACUUAAUCAAA
This 482-nucleotide ribosomal RNA is filed under the name Staphylococcus aureus. Its description in RNAcentral is "bacterial LSU rRNA". It matches the Rfam family "Bacterial large subunit ribosomal RNA", at positions 2442 to 2925 of the family's 2925-position model. Lineage: Bacteria; Bacillati; Bacillota; Bacilli; Caryophanales; Staphylococcaceae. The record is from RNAcentral.